Molecule: non-coding RNA, 30 nt
Filed under: Homo sapiens (human)
Lineage: Eukaryota; Metazoa; Chordata; Mammalia; Primates; Hominidae
Source: RNAcentral
UUUGGGAGAAAAGCCGAGCAGAUGCUGAAA